AAGACUCUAAUUUCCCAAGAUCGGAUUUUUAUCUACGUAUCCAACCAGGGCAAUCUGACGCCGACGUCAAACAGUACCAGCAAGGCAGCUCAAGGCCGCCGCCGCCGGCGUUGGCCGCCCCGGUGCGGUAGGAAACAUGAACGUGCUUGGGGACAUUGGCAACGUCAUCCACGCCACAGCUAGGUCCUUGACUGCAAGAUCCAGCUACCGGCCCGGCAGGGAUCAAUCGUCCAAUCAUCAGGAGGUUCAGCGGUCAACUCUUGAAGAAGGCCCAGGACGAUCCAUCCAAGGACAGCGUAUAACUGAUUCUAAAUUCCUCCAGCAGCGCGGGCAGCCCUGAAGCCCCCUCGCUGUUACUCGCAGAUCGAUUGGCACCGGCCGCACUCUAAUACUGAGGAUGGUGAAGAAUGCAGUUUUUCCUUUUCUUUUUGUACACAAAUGAGGCAAUGCAGUUGGCAUCGACAGCUGCUACUCGCUGGCCUCUCCUUGAGCGCAAGUUUCCAUCGUCGUCCGCCGCUUCGAUGCUCGGCUGCUGCCCCACGGACGCAUUCGCCACACCCCUACAGCCGACGCUCCUGCCCUCCACUCUGUGGCUAUCCUCACAUGUAACGGCUUCUCUCACGUAGUGUUCAGAGGUGCAUGUAUUGAGAGCGCCGAUGAUUUAGGGCAAAAAAACCACACAAAGUAACAAACUUUGUACAAAUUGUACUUGAAGCCAGCGAUAUCCCGUUGAUGGACGCUAACAACAAUUCGAACCUGUUAAUCGGGGAAAGGAUGCUACUAACGCGACACUACGAUCAGAGACCCUUCAAGAAACUGUGUGCGAUGCCAUAAUCGCAAACGGUGUUGUAUGAAAACCGUCAGAAAUGUGUAAAACGUUUGCG
Molecule: long non-coding RNA, 884 nt
Organism: Aegilops tauschii subsp. strangulata
Lineage: Eukaryota; Viridiplantae; Streptophyta; Magnoliopsida; Poales; Poaceae
Source: RefSeq, a predicted model, not a curated record